RNAcentral lists this ribosomal RNA (1380 nucleotides) under Pediococcus acidilactici. RNAcentral describes it as "bacterial SSU rRNA". It matches the Rfam family "Bacterial small subunit ribosomal RNA", at positions 61 to 1397 of the family's 1533-position model. Lineage: Bacteria; Bacillati; Bacillota; Bacilli; Lactobacillales; Lactobacillaceae. The record is from RNAcentral.
GUCGAACGAACUUCCGCUGUAAUUGAUUAUGACGUGCUUGCACUGAAUGAGAUUUUAACACGAAGUGAGUGGCGGACGGGUGAGUAACACGUGGGUAACCUGCCCCGAAGCAGGGGAUAACACCUGGAAACAGAUGCUAAUACCGUAUAACAGAGAAAACCGCCCGGUUUUCUUUUAAAAGAUGGCUCUGCUAUCACUUCUGGAUGGACCCCCGGCGCACUAGCUAGUUGGUGAGGUAACGGCUCCCCCAGGCCAUGAUGCGUAGCCCACCUGAGAGGGUAAUCCGCCACCUUGGGACUGAGACCCGGCCCAGACCCCCACCGGAGGCAGCAGUAGGGAAUCUUCCACAAUGGACGCAAGUCUGAUGGAGCAACGCCCCGUGAGUGAAGAAGGGUUUCGGCUCGUAAAGCUCUGUUGUUAAAGAAGAACGUGGGUGAGAGUAACUGUUCACCCCGUGACGGUAUUUAACCAGAAAGCCACGGCUAACUACCUGCCAGCAGCCGCGGUAAUACGUAGGUGGCAAGCGUUAUCCCGAUUUAUUGGGCGUAAAGCGAGCGCAGGCCGUCUUUUAAGUCUAAUGUGAAAGCCCUCCGCUCACCCAAGAAGUGCAUUGGAAACUGGGAGACUUGAGUGCAGAAAAGGACAGUGGAACUCCUGUGUAGCGGUGAAAUGCGUAGAUAUAUGGAAGAACCCCGUGGCGAAAGCCGCUGUCUGGUCUGUAACUGACGCUUAGGCUCGAAAGCAUGGGUAGGCGAACGGGAUUAGAUACCCUGGUGGUCCAGGCGGUAAACGAUGAUUACUAAGUGUGGGAGGGUUUCCGCCCUUCAGUGCUGCAGCUAACGCAUUAAGUAAUCGGCCUGGGGAGUACGACCGCAAGGUUGAAACUCAAAAGAAUGGAGGGGGGCCCGCACCAGCGGGGGAGCAUGUGGUUUAAUUGGAAGCUACGCGAAGAACCUUACCAGGUCUGGACAUCUUCGGCCAACCUAAGAGAUUGGGCGUUCCCUUGGGGGACAGAAUGACGGGUGGUGCAUGGUGGUGGUCAGCUCGGGUCGUGAGAUGUUGGGUUAAGUCCCGCAACGAGCGCAACCCUUAUUACUAGUUGCCAGCAUUCAGUUGGGCACUCUAGUGAGACGGCCGGUGACAAACCGGAGGAAGGUGGGGAGGACGUCAAAUCAUCAUGCCCCUUAUGACCUGGGCUACACACGUGCUACAAUGGAUGGUACAACGAGUCGCGAAACCGCGAGGUUUAGCUAAUCUCUUAAAACCAUUCUCAGUUCGGACUGUAGGCUGCAACUGGCCUACACGAAGUGGGAAUCGCUAGUAAUCGCGGAUCAGCAUGCCGCGGUGAAUACGUUCCCGGGCCUUGUACACACCGCCCGU